Molecule: transfer RNA, 82 nt
Filed under: Rufibacter roseus
Lineage: Bacteria; Pseudomonadati; Bacteroidota; Cytophagia; Cytophagales; Hymenobacteraceae
Also listed under: 2 other names
Description: tRNA-Leu
Rfam family: tRNA
About the family: Transfer RNA (tRNA) molecules are approximately 80 nucleotides in length. Their secondary structure includes four short double-helical elements and three loops (D, anti-codon, and T loops).
Source: RNAcentral
GCGCUGGUGGCGAAAUUGGUAGACGCACUGUCUUCAGGUGGCAGCGCUUUCGGGCGUGGGAGUUCGACUCUCCCCCAGCGCA